This 227-nucleotide long non-coding RNA is filed under the name Lathyrus oleraceus (garden pea). Its description in RNAcentral is "Pisum sativum (pea) long non-coding RNA (PSAT_LNC027329)". Lineage: Eukaryota; Viridiplantae; Streptophyta; Magnoliopsida; Fabales; Fabaceae. The record is from RNAcentral.
UUUGUAGUAAUAAGGGCAUUGUUAGACACAAAUUAGGAACACCUCAGGAACAUAAUUUGUAAAACACACUUCAAUUAGAAAGAUGUUGGCCUUAAUGGUACAAGAUAAUUGGAACAACAACUUGAUGUAAAUACUCCAUUCUUACAUGGAGAAUUAGAGGACUAAACACAUUGACGUCAAACAACAUUUUGUGAGGGAAAUUAUUGCAGGAGUGGACUACAACUUGG